AAUAGAUACCCGGGUAGUCCACGCCGUAAACGAUGGAUGCUAGCUGUUAUGCGUAUCGACCCGUGUAGUAGCGAAGCUAACGCGUUAAGCAUCCCGCCUGGGGAGUACGAACGCAAGUUUAAAACUCAAAGGAAUUGACGGGGGACCCGCACAAGCGGUGGAGCGUGUUCUUUAAUUCGAGGCUAAGCGAAGAACCUUACCAGGGCUUGACAUCCUUGGAAUUUCUCCGAAAGGAGAGAGUACUUUAUUGGACCAAGUGACAGGUGCUGCAUGGCCGUCGUCAGCUCGUGUCGUGAGAUGUUUGGUUAAGUCCAUUAACGAGCGCAACCCUUAUGAAUAGUUGUAUUUUUCUAUUCAGACUGCCCCGGUAACGGGGAGGAAGGGGGGGAUGAUGUCAGGUCAGUAUUGCCCUUACGCCCUGGGCUAGAAACGCGCUACAAUGGCCGGUACAAUGCGCUGCCAACCCGGCGAGGGGGAGCAAAUCGCAUCAAACGCCGGUCCCAGUUCGGAUAAGGGGCUGAAACUCGCCUCUUUGAAGCCGGAAUCGCUAGUAAUCGUAGGUC
Molecule: ribosomal RNA, 563 nt
Filed under: uncultured bacterium
Lineage: Bacteria
Description: bacterial SSU rRNA
Rfam family: Bacterial small subunit ribosomal RNA
Source: RNAcentral